UAAGACGAACCGUGCGAACGUUGUUCGGAAUCACUGGGCUUAAAGGGCGCGUAGGCGGGGCUCCAAGUCCGGGGUGAAAGCCCCCAGCUCAACUGGGGAAGCGCCUUGGAUACUGGGGCCCUCGAGGGGGGUAGGGGCGUGCGGAACUUCCGGUGGAGCGGUGAAAUGCGUAGAUAUCGGAAGGAACACCGGUGGCGAAAGCGGCGCGCUGGACCCCUUCUGACGCUGAGGCGCGAAAGCCAGGGGAGCAAACGGGAUUAGAUACCCCGGUAGUCCUGGCCCUAAACGUUGGGCACUAGGUUGUGGGCUUACAUGGGCUCACAGCCGGAGCAAAAGUGUUAAGUGCCCCGCCUGGGGAGUAUGGUCGCAAGGCUG
Molecule: ribosomal RNA, 375 nt
Filed under: uncultured bacterium
Lineage: Bacteria
Description: bacterial SSU rRNA
Rfam family: Bacterial small subunit ribosomal RNA
Source: RNAcentral